Molecule: RNA transcript, 3196 nt
Organism: Culex pipiens pallens (northern house mosquito)
Lineage: Eukaryota; Metazoa; Arthropoda; Insecta; Diptera; Culicidae
Gene name: helicase domino-like
Exons: 4
Source: RefSeq, a predicted model, not a curated record
GACACCCUCCCCCUACGCUUGUAUCACAAAAAUGAUUAAUCCUAGUUGUACCGUAAUCUGGGGUGAAUCGGGACUACAGUCUGAAUAGGGACAGCAGUUUUUAGAGCACUUAAAGCUUUUAAAUUUGGAAAUGGAUGUACACAUUUUGUUGGCCUGAGUCUGUUCUAACCGAAACCAACCAGAAAAAUCAAAAUAUUGUGCUCUAACAUGGUAAAAACUGCUGUCCCAAUUCGCCCCAUGUGUCCCGAUUGACCCCAGUUUACGGCACUGAAAAAAAUCCAUACGUGUGUAAAAGUGAACUGCAGAAUGUGUAAUUCUGAUUCCCAGUGCGUGACCCCGUUCCUAACUCCGACAGUUAUCAAACCAGUCUACCAAACAUACCUGGUCAUUGAAAUUGAACUUAACUGUCAAAAUGUUCAAAAGAACGAAAGAACCAAAACAAAAGAACAAAGCGGCGUUCAGCACGGACACUCUGGGUUUCGCAUCCAACCCCGUCGCGUUAAAACAUCCAACAGGACAAGAUUACGCAAAUCACGGAUGGCCCCGGUGCUGCACCUGAUAAUAUUAGCCACGCAGUUCCUUGAUCCCGACUGCGGCAAGCGGCAGACGUUCAAAUUCCUGCUUGAAUGUAUCAAAUCGAGUUGGCAUCGGGUGCUCCGAUGCCUCUUCACAUGCUGGACGUUCUGGAGGCGUCUUCAACUACCCCGGCCCUGUAAUCCUGCGGCUAGACGGAACAACCAAGGUCGAGCAGAUAGUACUGUUGAUAAAUCGCUUCAACUGGACAAGCGAAUGUUUGUGUUGAACCGGUCGACCCGUUCCGGAGGCAUCAGUACAGAAUCCGUCGUCUUCUACGAUUCUGAAUCGAAUCCUACCAGAGACGCGCAGGCGCAGGUUCGGUGCUACAAGUUAGGGCUGUGAGAUACAUACUCGGCGAUCUGGCCAACGUGGACGGCAACUUUACGACGGCCUUCUUAAGUGGCGUGGCGCGGCUUGCCGAGGUCAUUGAACGGUUCAGUUGGUCAUCGUCGAGACUGAGACCGAGCAGCAAACGCGCGACGUAGGGGCGAAUCAAUAGGCGCAACUGAAACCCGAAAAGGAAUCGGCCGCCGAGAGCUGUUGUGUAUCCACCAAACUUGAGGACAAAUCUUCUGGAACUAUGACGCCGCAACCUGAAAUCGCAUCGCGGACGAUUGCCCUCAAGGAGUCCACUCCGUACACAGAACACGCGAGUUGUUCCAGGCUUUGUUAAAUCGCAAGGUAAGGCGAACCAUCGGAUUCGUUGUCUGGACCGGUGACGGUCGGCCCGGCCGCAGCAGCAGCAUCAAACUCAGCAACAGUUCCCGUCCAAACCGCUUCUACAACCUACGCCACAGUACACACAGUCCAUUUUUGAUUUUCGAGCUCGGCAGAAUUCUGCCGAAAACAGAACAACUGAUUUUUUUCGGCAGAAAAAUGCCGAACUUCGGCAUAUCAACUGUCAUUUUUCGCCGAGAAUUCGGUAGAAUGACUUCCAUUUUGCCGAGAUUCGGCAUAUAUUUCUGCCGAGCGAUAAGUUGUUCUGAUUUCGGCAGAAUUUUGCCGAAGUUCGGCAUAAAAAUCUAAGUGUGCACCACUAUCGCUUCCAGUUGCUAUCAUUUGGACUUCGCUGCCAUGCAUGGCCCAUGGGCGCCGACGGUGUCCAUUCCGUCGUUAACCACGCGAAGCAGAUAGGAGCAAAAUGGCUCUAACGAUUGACGGGGAGGUCACCGACGUCCGUUGGAUCAAAAGGCGCUCAAAUUUAACCUAGGAAGCAUUGCCUUGGCGUUCUCGAUAGCGAGAUUCCUAUCCUGCUUUUUAGGCGAAAAUGGCGUUCGAAUGGUGAACGCCCGAAAUGUCAAAAUCACGCAGUGGUACCAACAUUACGAAAAAAGUGUGCCAUGGCAUGACAGCCGCAUUUUUUCCUAAUGUUGGUGCUCUUGCGCGAUUUGACAUAAGCUGUCUGAUUGUCUGUGGAAGUGUUGUCGUCUCCCGGACUUCGCUGCACUUUUUGAAGAUUUCUCGCCGUUCAAACUGAGUGGAAUGUAAAGUGUACAUCAGUUUCCUGCUAUUAAGGACCCACAUCGUCGCUGCAAGUUGGAGUGCAAACGAUCGAGUGAUUUGCUGGCCUGUAAGACAAAAAUCUUUAUCGCGAACACAGAGGCAUAACAACAAACAGUGCUCCAUUGUUCGAUAUCGAGGGACAGUCCGCUGGAGCUAUCUUCGUUCUCAGCAACGCUGGUGUCAUCUAUCGGUCACUAGAGGAACUAUACACUGUUGUGCAAAAUUAAUAACUAUGAAGAGAUCCUGCCAAAAGUGUAAACAAAAUAUCGCUGCUGAUGAACCGAUCGUUAUCUGCGAAGGAUUUUGUGAAGGAAUUCAACGAUACCAUGCGAAGUGUGUCGGCCUAGCGGCGGAAGACCAGAAAUCCUGUCAUCUGCGCAAUAUCUUUUGGAUGUGCGAUGAGUGCUGCGAUCUAAUGUCGAACAACAAGUUUCGUAAUACCGUCAACGGGUUGAGAUCUGCUGAACGCAAAGCUGACUGUGAACUGGAAAGUCUGAGAAACGAAAUGUUUGAGCUGAGAGGAACUCUAUCAAGUUUUAUGGAUUCCUUUCAAAUCUCCAAACAUCUGCUGCAACGUCAUUUCCUCUAAUAUCACCAUCACGCGAAGGUUCGACAAAAGACGAUGCAGAGCCGCUCUCUUCGACUAAAAAUCUCGAGUCGUCACCCUGUGCAACGGAUAACUCGAAUGCAGAUCAACCUAUUGCGAAGCUCAGAUUGCACCUCUCAAACAUUGCCGUAGACGUCACGGAAACCGAAGUGUCUGAAAUGGUCAGCGAAACUCUUGGGAUUGAUAAAACGCUCAUGGUUAGGUGCUUGGUUCCAUCCUGGAAAGACUUUUCGUCGCUAGAAUUUAUCUCGUUCAAGAUCGAAGUUGACCCCUGUUGCAAAGCUCGUGCCCUGAACCCAUCAAGCUGGCCAGGAGGAGUGAGAUGUCGGGAGUUCAAGGAAUUUGCUAGAGAUGUUUGGCGCCCGAGAACCAGAAGCCGCUGUUAACUUUCAUGUUUGAUUUUGUAACCGAUGUAAAUUAUUGAUUUUUGCUUAGCAAUUUAUGUUUCCGAAUUAGAUUUUAAGUCCAUUUGGGCUAAAAUAGCCUGUUGGGAGAAAACAAAUAAAUAAA